This 460-nucleotide ribosomal RNA is filed under the name uncultured bacterium. Its description in RNAcentral is "partial 16S ribosomal RNA". It matches the Rfam family "Bacterial small subunit ribosomal RNA", at positions 338 to 795 of the family's 1533-position model. The record is from RNAcentral.
CCUACGGGGGGCAGCAGUGAGGAAUAUUGGUCAAUGGGCGGAAGCCUGAACCAGCCAAGUCGCGUGAGGGAAUAAGGCCCUACGGGUCGUAAACCUCUUUUGCCGGGGAGCAAGGGCGGGGACGUGUCCCGGCCCGGAGAGUACCCGGAGAAAAAGCAUCGGCUAACUCCGUGCCAGCAGCCGCGGUAAUACGGAGGAUGCGAGCGUUAUCCGGAUUUAUUGGGUUUAAAGGGUGCGUAGGCGGGCUGUUAAGCCGGCGGUAAAAAUUCAGGGCUCAACCCGGGCGAGCCGUCGGAACUGGCAGCCUUGAGUGGGCGAGAAGUAUGCGGAAUGCGUGGUGUAGCGGUGAAAUGCAUAGAUAUCACGCAGAACGCCGAUUGCGAAGGCAGCAUACCGGCGCCCGACUGACGCUGAGGCACGAAAGCGUGGGGAUCGAACAGGAUUAGAUACCCGAGUAGUC